AAGUUAUCUCUUCAUUCAUCUAAUACCAGCAAUAUUCAAAAAGCAUUUAAUCUUUACAAAGACAAGGAAUACAAGUCAAAUCAUCCAAAUUUACAUAUGGAAUACUAUCUGCUUCACAUAGAACAAAUGUCAAUAUACAUGAUCGCCUCUGAUGCUAGGAAAGCAUGGCACUUCUUAGCAAGCUUUUUUGACCACCUUCUUGAUUGCACACUAGAAAUAAGUCACAACCAUGAAGCAACACCAUUUUCCACCACUUUCCAUUUUUCCUUGCAGAUGAACAAUGAUUGUAGAAAUGAAUAACAUGACGAAGAAAUUAAAAUCCAUGAACUUUACAGAGUCAAGUUAAAGUUUUGAGAAAAUUUUCAAAAAUGUAAACCAAUGUCAUAAGAAGCAUGACUGGCAUGCUUUGAAGUACUAUUCAACAAUUAUGAAAAUAAAUUUUGCAAGUUGAUGAAGAAUCAAUAAUUGAUACUCUUUUUUAAGUAUUAGAUCUCUAAUGGGCCCAAGUUUGGUGCUUGACGAAUGAUAUUCAUAGGAAAGCUCAAAUAUAUCACAAUACACAAAGAUUAGAUUUCCUACAAAGGUCCAAGUAAAUAAAAUACAUUCAAUUAUAUUACAUUAAAUUAGAGGUUACUGUAGAUUCAGAUUUAGGAGGAAAAAAAUUGCACCAAUGAUACACAACUCUUCCCUUAAUAUUUUCACAUGAACAAUAAAAAAAUGGAGAUUAAUCAUUGAGAGCUAAUAGUAUCGGACCAUUGGAACCACAAUAUCUGAUGUUGAAACUCUUGAAACAAAGUACUACUAUAAUCCUUGGCAGCUGGAAACACAAGCCUUUAGUCAAUGAUUUCAUCAAUUUUUCAGUUGAAGUUAAAACAUGCGCCAAAGAGUGAGAUCUGUUUAUUUAGAAGAACCCCCGAGAACAUAUAUUCUCUAAAUCCUGGCUGCUUCAUAUUUCUCAAAAAGAAAAAAGGGAAGAAAAAAAAGAAAUAGUUGCUGCUCCAUGUCACAACAUGAGAUUUUGCGGUUCCAAACUUAACAGACACUAUUAAUCAAAAACUUCGUCUGCUAAAACGAAACAUCAACGGGGAAUUAAGGGAAACAAACCCUGCUUCACCACAGCAUCUCAAAAACCCUGCUUCACCACAGCAUCUCAGAAAGGAGAUUAAAAUGUAUACAUUUACAUCCACAUCUGGAAUCUUGGAUCAUGUAUAUAAUGACUAGAUGAAGAUGAACACAAAGAGAUGUAAACACAGGAUCAUGUAUAUAAUCGAAAGGUACGGCGAUCAAGCGCGGCACCGGAUCCACAGGGAGAGACCCUCGGUAGGUUCCUUCCCCCUUCCUCUUUCUCUUCUUCGUUUCUUUUAUUUUGUUAUCAUGGGGUAAAAGGAAAUGGGGUUAGGGUUUACCUCCGGGAAGAACCGGUUCUGAAAACCCUAG
RNAcentral lists this long non-coding RNA (1437 nucleotides) under Phoenix dactylifera (date palm). RNAcentral's name for it is "long non-coding RNA (PDAC_LNC006623)". The record is from RNAcentral. Lineage: Eukaryota; Viridiplantae; Streptophyta; Magnoliopsida; Arecales; Arecaceae.